AACGAACGCUGGCGGCAGGCCUAACACAUGCAAGUCGAGCGCGCCCUUCGGGGUGAGCGGCGGACGGGUGAGUAACGCGUGGGAACGUGCCCUUUUCUACGGAAUAGCCUCGGGAAACUGAGAGUAAUACCGUAUACGCCCUUUGGGGGAAAGAUUUAUCGGAAAAGGAUCGGCCCGCGUUGGAUUAGGUAGUUGGGGGGGUAAUGGCCUACCAAGCCGACGAUCCAUAGCUGGUUUGAGAGGAUGAUCAGCCACACUGGGACUGAGACACGGCCCAGACUCCUACGGGAGGCAGCAGUGGGGAAUCUUAGACAAUGGGGGCAACCCUGAUCUAGCCAUGCCGCGUGAGUGAUGAAGGCCUUAGGGUUGUAAAGCUCUUUCAGCUGGGAAGAUAAUGACGGUACCAGCAGAAGAAGCCCCGGCUAACUCCGUG
Molecule: ribosomal RNA, 433 nt
Filed under: uncultured bacterium
Lineage: Bacteria
Description: partial 16S ribosomal RNA
Rfam family: Bacterial small subunit ribosomal RNA
Source: RNAcentral